This 303-nucleotide unclassified non-coding RNA is filed under the name Hevea brasiliensis (rubber tree). The record is from RNAcentral. Lineage: Eukaryota; Viridiplantae; Streptophyta; Magnoliopsida; Malpighiales; Euphorbiaceae.
GCUCCAGUGCAACAUCAGGAGGAAGUGGAUCAGAAAGACCUUUAAAGGACUUGGAUGGCUGAUCAAAAUGUAGACGUCCACGAGCCCCAAAGGCCUGAGAAUGCUGAUGUUGAUGCUGUGUAUCAUAAAAAGGAGGAAAAGGAGGUUGGUGCAUUGGAGUACCCACCAUUGAGGCUGAAGGCCCAACAGCGGGAUUCAUCAUUGGGUUUGGCGGGGGAUGCAUCAUUGGCAUAGAAGAAGGAGGGAAAGGAGGGUUGAAUGGCCCAGCUGGGGGAUGUGUAGAUAACCAAAGCUUGUAACGAU